GUCAACAGUUACUUUGCAAGUGUGGAAUAUCCAUAUACCUCUUGUGAGUUGUGACCAGUGUGAGCGGCCCCACCGCAAUAGGAUUGGUGGGUGAGCCGGGACCAGCAAAAAAGGAGUCUGGUGCCUUGUCGUGGCUGUGACGUUUCUUCUGACCGUCUGUUGCAUCGGUGCCCCCAACGUCCAGGAACUAAUCCCCGGUCCUAUGUGGUUUUGACCCUAAUUCACUGUGAGUGUGUGGAGUGCAGUGGGUGAGUCCUUUUCUUUGCUGUGUGUACACUUGAAGUCUGCAGUGCCGUGCUGUGUCAUGUUGUCAGUAAUCACCCUCUAGGCUGGGAGAGAAAACCCUGUGGAGAAGAAUGUGCACCGGUGUUGUGAGACGUCCGUCUUUUAUCUACAUGCCCGCUCGUGGCUUUGGACCCCUACUCCGCCGAGUGGUGACGUGUCAACAAUAGCAAGUAAGGAACAGUGUGCAUAUUGUGGGGGACGACGACUGAGAGAAGUGUUGGCUGCUAUAUGAACAUCCAGCUGUGUAGCCCUUGUGUAUGAAUACUGGUUUGUGGAGUGCUUUCAGAGGUUCGCCCCUGUCUAGAUCUCUGGUCCGUUGUCUGGAAGAUAGGAGAGGGAAGCGUUCAAGUCAUUCCUGAGUCCUACAGGUCUGAGCUUGAGGCUCUGAGUCGUCGUGGGAGUGUUUCCACGGUUGGAGGUGACCGUGUUGAGUGUUGGUCUGGGAAAUCUGCCCCGGUGAAGAAGACCACAGUUGUCGUGACAUGUACACCUUCUCUAGACUCCCGAACUGAAAAGUGCUUAAGCCUGAGAUCCACCUCUUCGAGGGUCUGUGAGUUGUAUCCAUUCAGUAUUGUCACUGUAUACCCACCUGCAUGCCCAGAGCGAGCUCGAGUUGCCCCUGUAUACCCCUCUGUACGUCUAAAGCUAAGAGCCAGCAUAUUGCCCUUGUAUACUUACCUGUAUGCCCAAAUCUAAGAGCCAGCGUAUUGUCCUUGUAUACUUACUGGUAUGCCCAGAGUCAAGCUCUAGUUGCCCUUGUAUACUCACCUGUAUGGCCAAAGUAAAGACCCAGUUGUCCUUCUGCAUAUC
RNAcentral lists this long non-coding RNA (1095 nucleotides) under Carassius auratus (goldfish). RNAcentral's name for it is "lncRNA (ENSCARG00000063521.1)". The record is from RNAcentral. Lineage: Eukaryota; Metazoa; Chordata; Actinopteri; Cypriniformes; Cyprinidae.